Long non-coding RNA from Fundulus heteroclitus (mummichog), 488 nucleotides. RefSeq lists it as uncharacterized. The transcript is spliced from 3 exons. The record is from RefSeq and is a predicted model, not a curated record. NCBI's taxonomy places the organism in Eukaryota, Metazoa, Chordata, Actinopteri, Cyprinodontiformes, Fundulidae.
GACAUCCUGUCGAGUCUGGGAGGAGAGCUGGACGUGGCAGUUGACAGGAAGGAAGCAGCUACGCGGUUGAGAAUUUAACACAACAAACAAAGAAGGCGGCUGAGGGGGCGUGUCCCACCACACCUGCGGCUCAUCAGAGGCAGCUUCUUCUGGGUACUUAAGCAGCGCGCAGACAGAUGGAAGAUGCCAGAACCUUAAACCAGUCGUGUUUUUGUGUGCAUGGAAGCACUUACCUGUCCUGACAUCCCGAGAAAGAUUUCAAACCAGUGGAAUCAAUUGCUCAGAUCCUGCUCUGGCGGUCCCCCUCAUACUCCCUUGGCGUUACCAAGACGGGCGUGAGGUCCCCUUCCCGGAUUCCACUGGUACUCCAAAGACUCCUGUACUCUGGUCAAUCUCUUUGUCAUUCACGCCUGAGGUUUGCUUCGGGUCUCUCACCAGCUACAUCAGCCGCCCUCCAGCCACUACCACCAACUAGUGUAGGCGUACUA